This 21-nucleotide microRNA is filed under the name Gossypium raimondii (Peruvian cotton). RNAcentral describes it as "gra-miR7502f". The record is from miRBase by way of RNAcentral. Lineage: Eukaryota; Viridiplantae; Streptophyta; Magnoliopsida; Malvales; Malvaceae.
UUUAGCAGUAGAAAUAGAUGA